GGUUAAGCGACUAAGCGUACACGGUGGAUGCCCUGGCAGUCAGAGGCGAUGAAGGACGUGCUAAUCUGCGAAAAGCGUCGGUAAGGUGAUAUGAACCGUUAUAACCGGCGAUGUCCGAAUGGGGAAACCCAGUGUGAUUCGUCACACUAUCGUUAACUGAAUACAUAGGUUAACGAGGCGAACCGGGGGAACUGAAACAUCUAAGUACCCCGAGGAAAAGAAAUCAACCGAGAUUCCCCCAGUAGCGGCGAGCGAACGGGGAGCAGCCCAGAGUCUGAAUCAGCUUGUGUGUUAGUGGAACGGUCUGGAAAGUCCGACGGUACAGGGUGAUAGUCCCGUACACCAAAAUGCACAGGUUGUGAACUCGAAGAGUAGGGCGGGACACGUGGUAUCCUGUCUGAAUAUGGGGGGACCAUCCUCCAAGGCUAAAUACUCCUGACUGACCGAUAGUGAACCAGUACCGUGAGGGAAAGGCGAAAAGAACCCCGGCGAGGGGAGUGAAAAAGAACCUGAAACCGUGUACGUACAAGCAGUGGGAGCACCUU
Molecule: ribosomal RNA, 545 nt
Filed under: Klebsiella pneumoniae
Lineage: Bacteria; Pseudomonadati; Pseudomonadota; Gammaproteobacteria; Enterobacterales; Enterobacteriaceae
Also listed under: 4 other names
Description: partial 23S ribosomal RNA
Rfam family: Bacterial large subunit ribosomal RNA
Source: RNAcentral